AUCCAGCUGACGAGUCCCAAAUGGAACGAAACGCGCGUCAAACUGGAU
Molecule: non-coding RNA, 48 nt
Organism: Schistosoma mansoni
Lineage: Eukaryota; Metazoa; Platyhelminthes; Trematoda; Strigeidida; Schistosomatidae
Source: Rfam